This 461-nucleotide ribosomal RNA is filed under the name Pichia manshurica. RNAcentral describes it as "partial large subunit ribosomal RNA". It matches the Rfam family "Eukaryotic large subunit ribosomal RNA", at positions 62 to 535 of the family's 3401-position model. The record is from RNAcentral. Lineage: Eukaryota; Fungi; Ascomycota; Pichiomycetes; Pichiales; Pichiaceae.
AAACCAACAGGGAUUGCCCCAGUAGCGGCGAGUGAAGCGGCAAGAGCUCAGAUUUGAAAUCGUGUUUCGGCACGAGUUGUAGAGUGUAGGCGGGAGUCUCUGUGGAGCGCGGUGUCCAAGUCCCUUGGAACAGGGUGCCUGAGAGGGUGAGAGCCCCGUAGGGUGCUGCGCGAAGCUUUUGAGGCCCUGCUGACGAGUCGAGUUGUUUGGGAAUGCAGCUCCAAGCGGGUGGUAAAUUCCAUCUAAGGCUAAAUAUUGGCGAGAGACCGAUAGCGAACAAGUACUGUGAAGGAAAGAUGAAAAGCACUUUGAAAAGAGAGUGAAACAGCACGUGAAAUUGUUGAAAGGGAAGGGUAUUGGGCUCGACAUGGGGGGUGCGCACCGCUGUCUCUUGUAGGCGGCGCUCUGGGCGCCCUCUGGGCCAGCAUCGGUUCCUGCUGCGGGAGAAGGGGCUCCGGAAA